CAUGCAAGUCGAGCGGUAGCACAGAGAGCUUGCUCUCGGGUGACGAGCGGCGGACGGGUGAGUAAUGUCUGGGAAACUGCCUGAUGGAGGGGGAUAACUACUGGAAACGGUAGCUAAUACCGCAUAACGUCGCAAGACCAAAGUGGGGGACCUUCGGGCCUCAUGCCAUCAGAUGUGCCCAGAUGGGAUUAGCUGGUAGGUGGGGUAACGGCUCACCUAGGCGACGAUCCCUAGCUGGUCUGAGAGGAUGACCAGCCACACUGGAACUGAGACACGGUCCAGACUCCUACGGGAGGCAGCAGUGGGGAAUAUUGCACAAUGGGCGCAAGCCUGAUGCAGCCAUGCCGCGUGUGUGAAGAAGGCCUUCGGGUUGUAAAGCACUUUCAGCGGGGAGGAAGGCGGUGAGGUUAAUAACCUCAUCGAUUGACGUUACCCGCAGAAGAAGCACCGGCUAACUCCGUGCCAGCAGCCGCGGUAAUACGGAGGGUGCAAGCGUUAAUCGGAAUUACUGGGCGUAAAGCGCACGCAGGCGGUCUGUCAAGUCGGAUGUGAAAUCCCCGGGCUCAACCUGGGAACUGCAUUCGAAACUGGCAGGCUAGAGUCUUGUAGAGGGGGGUAGAAUUCCAGGUGUAGCGGUGAAAUGCGUAGAGAUCUGGAGGAAUACCGGUGGCGAAGGCGGCCCCCUGGACAAAGACUGACGCUCAGGUGCGAAAGCGUGGGGAGCAAACAGGAUUAGAUACCCUGGUAGUCCACGCUGUAAACGAUGUCGAUUUGUAAGGUUGUGCCCUUGAGGCGUGGCUUCCGGAGCUAACGCGUUAAAUCGACCGCCUGGGGAGUACGGCCGCAAGGUUAAAACUCAAAUGAAUUGACGGGGGCCCGCACAAGCGGUGGAGCAUGUGGUUUAAUUCGAUGCAACGCGAAGAACCUUACCUGGUCUUGACAUCCACAGAACUUAGCAGAGAUGCUUUGGUGCCUUCGGGAACUGUGAGACAGGUGCUGCAUGGCUGUCGUCAGCUCGUGUUGUGAAAUGUUGGGUUAAGUCCCGCAACGAGCGCAACCCUUAUCCUUUGUUGCCAGCGGUUAGGCCGGGAACUCAAAGGAGACUGCCAGUGAUAAACUGGAGGAAGGUGGGGAUGACGUCAAGUCAUCAUGGCCCUUACGACCAGGGCUACACACGUGCUACAAUGGCAUAUACAAAGAGAAGCGACCUCGCGAGAGCAAGCGGACCUCAUAAAGUAUGUCGUAGUCCGGAUUGGAGUCUGCAACUCGACUCCAUGAAGUCGGAAUCGCUAGUAAUCGUAGAUCAGAAUGCUACGGUGAAUACGUUCCCGGGCCUUGUACACACCGCCCGUCACACCAUGGGAGUGGGUUGCAAAAGAAGUAGGUAGCUUAACCUUCGGGAGGGCGCUUACCAC
RNAcentral lists this ribosomal RNA (1415 nucleotides) under Klebsiella sp. VITPGP4A. RNAcentral describes it as "16S ribosomal RNA". It matches the Rfam family "Bacterial small subunit ribosomal RNA". The record is from RNAcentral. Lineage: Bacteria; Pseudomonadati; Pseudomonadota; Gammaproteobacteria; Enterobacterales; Enterobacteriaceae.